AGGCUACAAAAGUUUUUAUUUUUCACUUUUCACAACUACGCUUUGUUUUUUCUCUCGAUCGAAAACAAUAAAAAGAAGAAAACCCCUAAUCAAGUGUUUAGUUGCUUACUGCUGUCCCUCAGUGAAAAUUUUCAAGCUUCGCCACUGAUCAUCGGACCACUGUCAUGCGUCGGUAGCAGGGUUAUCCAUGGUCUCCGGUGGUCCGGAUGGUGACCAAAACGACGAGUCCCACAUGGUCCGAAGCCUCAAGUGGAUGGUGCAAUGUUGACGGUGUUGUCCUUCCUGGUCGCCGUCGAAAUGGCCAGUGGUGGCGUUGGGGUGAUGCAAUCAUGCAACUAUCUUUCUUGAUGGAGGUGGGUGUGAUCACACGAGUGGGCUAAGGUUAUGACUAUAACUGGUGGUGAUAAAUGUCUUCUAUGUUUUUUGAGAGAGAAAAAAUGUCUGUAUGCGUGUCAUGUGUGUGUGAAUAUGGUGGUAGUAUCUGGUAUAAUGGUAUG
Helianthus annuus (common sunflower) is the source of this 497-nucleotide long non-coding RNA. RefSeq lists it as uncharacterized. The record is from RefSeq and is a predicted model, not a curated record. The transcript is spliced from 2 exons. Lineage: Eukaryota; Viridiplantae; Streptophyta; Magnoliopsida; Asterales; Asteraceae.